GUGAAAAAGAUUGAUCAUCAGAUGUUUCUUAUGAAUCAACCUGAUAUUUAAAUCCAUGAAGGGGAGAGAUGACAAAGCCAGGUGGAAUAGAUAGAGAAGAGGUCCAAGGUCUGAGCCCUACAUUACUCAGAGUGUUAGAGAUUAGGAAGAAGAGGAAGACCUGGCAAAAGAAUGUCCUGCGAUGUAGAAAGAAAACCAGAAGUUUGUGGUCUCUGGAAACCAAAUAAAGAAAGGGCUUCCAGAAGGACAGACAAAGUGUAGUGUAUCAAAGCUCCUGAGCAAUCAGAGGAGAGCACUGAGGGGCUCACAGGACAUUGGUAUCCAGAUCACCCAGUGACACUUCCUGAUCAUGAGAAACUGUCAGACCAACAGGGGCACUUUCUGUAACCAGCGGUUCUUCAUUGCCCAAAUGCAACCUUGAUGGUUUGAUUUUGGAGGAUGGCAAUUCAUUAAUAGCACUCUGCAGUGAUAAAUAUGAAAACCAAUAAAACUCCCCACCCAAGGCAACCUCUCCCAGCUCCUCACUUUGAGUGAAGUGAGUAACGUCAUUUCUGCCAACUCCUGUCUUGUCUGAAGCCACAUUUCCCCAGCAAUGUCACAUAUGCAUUUCUUGAUCCUGGUCAUUUCUCCUCUUGGAAGAUGAAUCAUAAAGAAAACGAGAUCUGUGUGCCCUGGUGACUAUGGAUGAAAGAGUCUGCUGCCCUGGAGGGAAGAGCUGGAAAAGAAGGAGAUGGAGAAGCAGUCCUAGGGCAGCCUCCAGGCCAGCUUUCCCUAAUAAGAAGGCAGAGCUCCUCUUCACCCAGACUUCCGACCUAUAGAGCCAGGGAGGCAUGCUUUCUAUCUGCUGCUGGUACUCCCAGACCAAGCUGUUGCAUGUGGGACUGAAGUGUGACUUCUGCCUCAGUUUCGUCCACCUGUGCAGGGAAGAGAAAAAUGCCUGCACCUCCAUGGUCAUACCCUCUGUUGGAUCCACCUCCUUAAGCCAGAAUUAUUGAAUGUUCUCUAUGUGCCAGAAUGAUUAUUAUUUCAUUUGAUUCUCACAAUAAUGCCGUGAAGUCUAUACAGACAUCCCUUGGAAAUAUAGUGGGUUUGGUUCCAGACCACUGCAAUAAAGCUAAUAUCGCAAUAAAACGGGUCGCACGAAGUUUUUGGAUUAGGCUUUGGCUUAAGGGAAUUUUGUGGCUGGUUUGAUCUUUUAUCCAGACCGCUAACACUUUCUCCCUAUCA
Molecule: long non-coding RNA, 1227 nt
Filed under: Papio anubis (olive baboon)
Lineage: Eukaryota; Metazoa; Chordata; Mammalia; Primates; Cercopithecidae
Description: lncRNA (ENSPANG00000037600.1)
Source: RNAcentral